Molecule: ribosomal RNA, 252 nt
Filed under: uncultured prokaryote
Description: partial 16S ribosomal RNA
Rfam family: Bacterial small subunit ribosomal RNA
Source: RNAcentral
UACGGAGGAUGCAAGCGUUAUCCGGAUUCAUUGGGUUUAAAGGGUGCGUAGGCGGGCUAUUAAGUCAGUGGUGAAAUCCUGCAGCUUAACUGCAGAACUGCCGUUGAUACUGAUAGUCUUGAGUUUGGUUAAGGUAGGCGGAAUGUGUAAUGUAGCGGUGAAAUGCUUAGAUAUUACACAGAACACCAAUUGCGAAGGCAGCUUGCUGGGCCAUUACUGACGCUGAUGCACGAAAGCGUGGGAGCGACAGGA